RNAcentral lists this ribosomal RNA (492 nucleotides) under uncultured bacterium. Its description in RNAcentral is "partial 16S ribosomal RNA". It matches the Rfam family "Bacterial small subunit ribosomal RNA", at positions 29 to 507 of the family's 1533-position model. The record is from RNAcentral.
AGUGAACGCUGGCGGUAGGCCUAACACAUGCAAGUCGAACGGCAGCACAGUAAGAGCUUGCUCUUACGGGUGGCGAGUGGCGGACGGGUGAGGAAUACAUCGGAAUCUACUUUUUCGUGGGGGAUAACGUAGGGAAACUUACGCUAAUACCGCAUACGACCUACGGGUGAAAGCAGGGGAUCUUCGGACCUUGCGCGAUUGAAUGAGCCGAUGUCGGAUUAGCUAGUUGGCGGGGUAAAGGCCCACCAAGGCGACGAUCCGUAGCUGGUCUGAGAGGAUGAUCAGCCACACUGGAACUGAGACACGGCCCAGACUCCUACAGGAGGCAGCAGUGGGGAAUAUUGGACAAUGGGCGCAAGCCUGAUCCAGCCAUACCGCGUGAGUGAAGAAGGCCUUCGGGUUGUAAAGCCCUUUUGUUGGGAAAGAAAAGCAGCAGGUUAAUACCCCGCUGUUCUGACGGUACCCAAAGAAUAAGCACCGGCUAACUUCGUG